RNAcentral lists this non-coding RNA (45 nucleotides) under Schistosoma mattheei. The record is from RNAcentral. Lineage: Eukaryota; Metazoa; Platyhelminthes; Trematoda; Strigeidida; Schistosomatidae.
AUUCAACUGACGGGUCUUAAAUAGGACGAAACGCGCAUCUUAGAU